This 677-nucleotide ribosomal RNA is filed under the name uncultured Curvibacter sp. RNAcentral describes it as "bacterial SSU rRNA". It matches the Rfam family "Bacterial small subunit ribosomal RNA", at positions 94 to 766 of the family's 1533-position model. The record is from RNAcentral. Lineage: Bacteria; Pseudomonadati; Pseudomonadota; Betaproteobacteria; Burkholderiales; Comamonadaceae.
AGUGGCGAACGGGUGAGUAAAGUAUCGGAACGUGCCCAGUCGUGGGGGAUAACGUAGCGAAAGUUACGCUAAUACCGCAUACGAUCUAUGGAUGAAAGCGGGGGAUCGCAAGACCUCGCGCGAUUGGAGCGGCCGAUAUCAGAUUAGGUAGUUGGUGGGGUAAAGGCUCACCAAGCCGACGAUCUGUAGCUGGUCUGAGAGGACGACCAGCCACACUGGGACUGAGACACGGCCCAGACUCCUACGGGAGGCAGCAGUGGGGAAUUUUGGACAAUGGGCGCAAGCCUGAUCCAGCCAUGCCGCGUGCAGGAUGAAGGCCUUCGGGUUGUAAACUGCUUUUGUACGGAACGAAAAGGUUUGGCCUAAUAAGCUGAGCUCAUGACGGUACCGUAAGAAUAAGCACCGGCUAACUACGUGCCAGCAGCCGCGGUAAUACGUAGGGUGCGAGCGUUAAUCGGAAUUACUGGGCGUAAAGCGUGCGCAGGCGGUUAUGUAAGACAGAUGUGAAAUCCCCGGGCUCAACCUGGGAACUGCAUUAGUGACUGCAUAGCUGGAGUACGGCAGAGGGGGAUGGAAUUCCGCGUGUAGCAGUGAAAUGCGUAGAUAUGCGGAGGAACACCGAUGGCGAAAGGCAAUCCCCUGGGCCUGUACUGACGCUCAUGCACGAAAGCGUGGGG